This is a long non-coding RNA of Peromyscus eremicus (cactus mouse), 339 nucleotides long. RefSeq lists it as uncharacterized. The transcript is spliced from 3 exons. The record is from RefSeq and is a predicted model, not a curated record. NCBI's taxonomy places the organism in Eukaryota, Metazoa, Chordata, Mammalia, Rodentia, Cricetidae.
UAAGAUCUGAGGCUGACAGACCAAGAGAGACUAUCCAUAUUUGGUCGCCUUGCCCAGCCUCAGUCCAAAGAGAGACCCUGACUGUGGUGGAGCCAUGGAUCCAGACAUGGUCCUCAACAACACUUUCAGGGAGAGGACACCAUGGCCACAGGGUGCAAUGUAGGCCACUGAGAGAGCCUGAGUUGACUUCCCAGCAUCCAUAAGGAGCAGAUCGUGGCAACCUAUAAAUCCAGAGCCAGGGCAUCCACACAAUUUUCUGGCUUCCAGGGGAACUCCAAUCUCAGGAACAAAUCCAUACACCAACAACCUUAAUUAAAAGAGAAUAAAAUAUAGCCAGUC